RNAcentral lists this long non-coding RNA (358 nucleotides) under Hordeum vulgare. Its description in RNAcentral is "long non-coding RNA (HVUL_LNC016123)". Lineage: Eukaryota; Viridiplantae; Streptophyta; Magnoliopsida; Poales; Poaceae. The record is from RNAcentral.
UUUUUUUAGUUGCACAUACCUCAUAAUCAUGCCUCCGGCACAUGGGAGCCGGUAAACAGGAUCACCCUAUCAUUCUUUGGCAUGACACACACAGGCUCACAAAUCGUUGGCACCCGUAUAUCAUCGAGUCAUCGGAACCGAAACGUUAUCGUGGCAUCGUUUCUGUUUUGCCGUCAUGGUUCCCUUUCGUUCACCAUGGCGACACAUGCUUCAUAUCCUUCUUCCGAGUGUUUAAUAAAAUUGCAUGCAUGUUGCAUUCAUGGCAUAAUAUCCCGUGUUGCACGUAUCUUUUGAACCGUAGCUCCGUUGGCGAUGGUCCAUAUAUGCAAAUCGACUAGAAUGGCGUGUAGAAUCACAU